CCUACGGGGGGCAGCAGUGGGGAAUAUUGGACAAUGGAGGGAACCCUGAUCCAGCCAUGCCGCGUGUGUGAAGAAGGCCCUCGGGUUGUAAAGCACUUUCAGUGAGGAAGAACGCCUGGUGGUUAAUACCCAUCAGGAAAGACAUCACUCACAGAAGAAGCACCGGCUAACUCCGUGCCAGCAGCCGCGGUAAUACGGAGGGUGCGAGCGUUAAUCGGAAUUACUGGGCGUAAAGCGCGCGUAGGUGGCUUGAUAAGCCGGUUGUGAAAGCCCCGGGCUCAACCUGGGAACGGCAUCCGGAACUGUCAAGCUAGAGUGCAGGAGAGGAAGGUAGAAUUCCCGGUGUAGCGGUGAAAUGCGUAGAGAUCGGGAGGAAUACCAGUGGCGAAGGCGGCCUUCUGGACUGACACUGACACUGAGGUGCGAAAGCGUGGGUAGCAAACAGGAUUAGAUACCCGAGUAGUC
RNAcentral lists this ribosomal RNA (465 nucleotides) under Vreelandella stevensii. RNAcentral's name for it is "partial 16S ribosomal RNA". It matches the Rfam family "Bacterial small subunit ribosomal RNA", at positions 338 to 795 of the family's 1533-position model. Lineage: Bacteria; Pseudomonadati; Pseudomonadota; Gammaproteobacteria; Oceanospirillales; Halomonadaceae. The record is from RNAcentral.